GACGAACGCUGGCGGCGUGCUUAACACAUGCAAGUCGAACGGAAAGGCCCUGCUUUUGUGGGGUGCUCGAGUGGCGAACGGGUGAGUAACACGUGAGUAACCUGCCCUUGACUUUGGGAUAACUUCAGGAAACUGGGGCUAAUACCGGAUAGGAGCUCCUGCUGCAUGGUGGGGGUUGGAAAGUUUCGGCGGUUGGGGAUGGACUCGCGGCUUAUCAGCUUGUUGGUGGGGUAGUGGCUUACCAAGGCUUUGACGGGUAGCCGGCCUGAGAGGGUGACCGGCCACAUUGGGACUGAGAUACGGCCCAGACUCCUACGGGAGGCAGCAGUGGGGAAUAUUGCACAAUGGGCGGAAGCCUGAUGCAGCGACGCCGCGUGCGGGAUGACGGCCUUCGGGUUGUAAACCGCUUUCGCCUGUGACGAAGCGUGAGUGACGGUAAUGGGUAAAGAAGCGCCGGCUAACUACGUGCCAGCAGCCGCGGUGAUACGUAGGGUGCGAGCGUUGUCCGGAUUUAUUGGGCGUAAAGGGCUCGUAGGUGGUUGAUCGCGUCGGAAGUGUAAUCUUGGGGCUUAACCCUGAGCGUGCUUUCGAUACGGGUUGACUUGAGGAAGGUAGGGGAGAAUGGAAUUCCUGGUGGAGCGGUGGAAUGCGCAGAUAUCAGGAGGAACACCAGUGGCGAAGGCGGUUCUCUGGGCCCUUCCUGACGCUGAGGAGCGAAGGCGUGGGGAGCGAACAGGCUUAGAUACCCUGGUAGUCCACGCUGUAAACGGUGGGUACUAGGUGUGGGGUCCAUUCCACGGGUUCCGUGCCGUAGCUAACGCUUUAAGUACCCCGCCUGGGGAGUACGGCCGCAAGGCUAAAACUCAAAGGAAUUGACGGGGCCCCGCACAAGCGGCGGAGCAUGCGGAUUAAUUCGAUGCAACGCGUAGAACCUUACCUGGGUUUGACAUGGAUCGGGAGUGCUCAGAGAUGGGUGUGCCUCUUUUGGGGUCGGUUCACAGGUGGUGCAUGGCUGUCGUCAGCUCGUGUCGUGAGAUGUUGGGUUAAGUCCCGCAACGAGCGCAACCCUUGUUCACUGUUGCCAGCACGUUAUGGUGGGGACUCAGUGGAGACCGCCGGGGUCAACUCGGAGGAAGGUGGGGAUGACGUCAAGUCAUCAUGCCCCUUAUGUCCAGGGCUUCACGCAUGCUACAAUGGCUGGUACAGAGAGUGGCGAGCCUGUGAGGGUGAGCGAAUCUCGGAAAGCCGGUCUCAGUUCGGAUUGGGGUCUGCAACUCGGCCUCAUGAAGUCGGAGUCGCUAGUAAUCGCAGAUCAGCAACGCUGCGGUGAAUACGUUCCCGGGGCU
RNAcentral lists this ribosomal RNA (1346 nucleotides) under uncultured bacterium. Its description in RNAcentral is "partial 16S ribosomal RNA". It matches the Rfam family "Bacterial small subunit ribosomal RNA", at positions 28 to 1381 of the family's 1533-position model. The record is from RNAcentral.